RNAcentral lists this transfer RNA (76 nucleotides) under bacterium. Its description in RNAcentral is "tRNA-Asn". It matches the Rfam family "tRNA". From Rfam's summary of the family: Transfer RNA (tRNA) molecules are approximately 80 nucleotides in length. Their secondary structure includes four short double-helical elements and three loops (D, anti-codon, and T loops). The record is from RNAcentral.
GCCUAAUUAGCUCAGCUGGUAGAGCACUUGGCUGUUAACCAAUAGGUCGUAGGUUCGAGUCCUACAUUAGGCGCCA